Long non-coding RNA from Ostrea edulis (European flat oyster), 2607 nucleotides. RefSeq lists it as uncharacterized. NCBI's taxonomy places the organism in Eukaryota, Metazoa, Mollusca, Bivalvia, Ostreida, Ostreidae. The record is from RefSeq and is a predicted model, not a curated record. The transcript has 2 exons.
GAUGGCAGCUAGGGGCAUUAAGGUAGUACUCUACAUCGUCAUAAUGGCUGACUUCCUUUAAAAACAUGGAUGACAAAAUCGAUGUCAGCAAUAUUAGACUUUUCCUUUUCCAUUUAAAUACGUAGCUGAGUAGCUCAGUAGGUUAACACGUUGACUGCAAAAAGAAAAAAAAAAAAAAAACACGUUGACUGCUGAACUGUAGGUCGCAGGAUCGAAUCCAGCAGGGGUUUUAAUUUUUUUUCCAGAUUACCUUCUACUAAAACUGUAUUUUUUGACAAAAUAAAGUAAAUUUGAAAAUUUUCAACUUCAAAAUAUUGUUUUACAUAUCCUCCACUUUUCAUCUACAUCAAAUUUCUCCGGUGUAGCAUACCUCCUUAACACACUUUCAUAUAAUCCGAGAUUCCUCCGACUCUUACCCCUGCUUUUAUAUUCUGACAUGUGCGGGGGAGACACAUGUCACAAUAUAAAAGCGGGGUUAAGAGUCGGAGGAAUCUUGGAUUAACUUUCAUAUAUAUUGAGUUCCUAGUGAUGAUGAUUUCUUAGUAAGCGAAGCAACAGGAGUGCAACAUGUCUUUGCUGGUGCUUUUUGGUAUCAAUCAACACAAAUUGUGUCCAAUAUUUAUCACCUAACUAAUCUAUGUAAUGUUCAUCCUCUGAAUAGGUGUUUUAGUGUCUUUAUUGAAAGUAAUGGCAAAUUCCGAGCAAUGCUGAAUAAGUGCGACACACACUUAAUAUGAUGCAAAUCGUCUCUAUAAAAUUGACAAAACAGUCAAGAAAUUUCAUAUCAACGUUGCUGUGUAAGAGGGAAGGAGGCUGAAUUCCAUAUUUGCACAUUGAGUUUUUGUUUUGAUUUAAAUAUAUUCGCAGAAGUAUCACUAUCAGACAUUGUAGCACUUUUCUUCUUUUCACAUGAAACAUGAAGAGAUGUACUCCUUGGUUGUUUUUCUUGGUUGUACGGGAUAUAUUUACUCUCGCUAAAGACACAGGUAUAUACUAUUUACUAAACAUACCAGUUUGCUCAGAUUGUGUCAAUCCCUAAAGUAAAGGAUUUUUUUUUUAUCGUGUUUUCUAGAAAAAAUCUCGCUAUAGGGGAAGUGUUCCCAACAUGUUAAACCAUGUGCUCUAAUAUCUGUGGAAACGUGCGAAGUCUUUCCUAACCCCCUUGUUUCCACAGAAAUUAUUUGUGCUCAUGUUUAGAAAUUGUCUGUAGUAGCAAUGCGAAAGCUCGCUAGGCGGCGCUGUCGAACGUAAAUACUGUUAUGGCGGAAUUCUGACCUCAAUUGACAUCGCUUGUAUUACGUGGUUUUACCCUAUGAAAACGCCAGAGAUGUCCGAAUAUAUCGGCUAUUUUUAGUAGGAAAUCCUUUCUACAUGACGUAUUUGACCAAAAUUUUCCCGGGCUGUGUCAGGAAGUAAGUACAAAAUCUCACUGAACUUUUUGUCGAUGUUUUUCUUAUACUUAUAAUAGAAAUACGCAUACGUAAUGCACAUCAAAAUGUUGUUUAAUUAUGUAAGUGAACAUAUGGAAACAAAAAUGUCUUAGAAUGAAGCGUAGUAGAAGCGAAAAGACGAUUGUUCAUGCUGACAUGGAAAUUCUAAGAACGAUAACUCCACCAUUGCAUUUAACGCUGGUAUCAAAAAAUGUUUAUCAAAAACUGUUUAUAAAUGAUUGCAAGCAAUGAAGAAUUAAUUUGAAGGUGAAAUGACAAUAAUUCAUGUAAAUUCAACAAGUUAGGAUGUUUUUGUUAAUCCAAUAGUUUAUGCAAUCGUCAAUUAUUCUAUUUAAAUUUUAAUUAUGAAUUUUACUUUUUCUGUUUUAAUUUUAGUGGACGAAUAUUCUCAACUUCUUCUUUUCUUCUCAUAAAGCACCCAAUAAUUACCUGAUUAAGAUGUACAUAUAUCAUAUUUACUAUUGUAGUACUUAGUGUUCAUGAGGAUUUUUUAAGACUUUUGUAGAUAUACAUGGCAAAGUUGGGACCAUUUUUUUUUUAUAUGUGUAAGGAUCUUUGGUUACAAAAGUUACAGUGUUCUUCAUUUUUGUUUUAUUCUUGAAUAAACUCACAGGUAGUGAGUUUUUUUAUAGCAUGCUCUCAUAGAUAGUGAGUUUCCCUAGCUAAAAUCUAUAAUUUACAUCUCCAGGCAGAGAAAAUGUACACCAAACACAAGAAUGUCUCCUCCUCCCUCUUUUCUUGUUUAUUUCAAUAAUAAGAUAUAUUUAUAUCUUUUCUUAAAUUAAAAUUUUUAUAUGGAUGUAUAAUGUCAAUUCUGAGAUCUAUCUUUUUUUAAUUAUAUUAUUAUUAAAAUUCUUUAUGGAAAAUAACAAAUAUAUUUUGAAUUUAUAUUUGAUGGAAGUAGAUACAUAUAAAAUUUUCUUCCUAGCUAAAUUGCUACAAAUGAUAUCAUUAUAUAUUUUUUUCUUGCAGGUACCAUAAUUUUUCCCCAAGCAGAGUGAGAAACAUCCCUAGUUUUCUUCAUAAUUUUGGAAAAACUUGAUUGUAGGGAGAAGAUUCAAGUUCCAUGGACCGAUAUUUGUGUAGGAUUUAUUGACUGUAUUUUUCUCAAUGAGGAUCAUUAUAAAUCAUAAAUAAAUCAUUUGUAGACUGUUAA